This 253-nucleotide ribosomal RNA is filed under the name uncultured bacterium. RNAcentral's name for it is "partial 16S ribosomal RNA". It matches the Rfam family "Bacterial small subunit ribosomal RNA", at positions 524 to 776 of the family's 1533-position model. The record is from RNAcentral.
UACGUAGGGUGCGAGCGUUAAUCGGAAUUACUGGGCGUAAAGUGUGCGCAGGCGGCCGAGCAAGUCGAGUGUGAAAGCCCCGGGCUUAACUUGGGAAUUGCGCUCGAAACUACUUGGCUGGAGUGUGGCAGAGGAAGGUGGAAUUCCAGGUGUAGCGGUGAAAUGCGCAGAUAUCAGGAGGAACACCAAUGGCGAAGGCAGCUCGCUGGGACGUGACUGACGCUGAGACGCGAAAGCGUGGGGAGCAAACAGG